RNAcentral lists this long non-coding RNA (415 nucleotides) under Cicer arietinum (chickpea). Its description in RNAcentral is "long non-coding RNA (CARI_LNC001128)". Lineage: Eukaryota; Viridiplantae; Streptophyta; Magnoliopsida; Fabales; Fabaceae. The record is from RNAcentral.
GAUCAUUGAGCUAAAGAAAAAACAAUGAUCGUUAAACAAAAGUUUAUUCUGACAGCCUUGGUUGUACUUCUUUUGUUUUCAAUAGGUAUAUAGACAUUUGGUGAAAGGUUGAACCUUUAGUAUAUUAUUUCUUUACCUAUAUUGAUUAUUUAUUAUACUAAUAUUAUUUUUUUUACAGGUAUGGCUAAAGUUGAUCUUGUAUUAAAGAAAUGUUUUUUCAAAUGUGGCCAACAUUACUCUAAUUGUGACUUGUACUGCACAAAUCUUGGAUAUUUUCAAGGAAUAUGCGAUGAAUAUUGUUGUUGUUACGACUUAAAUUAAUUACUUGGAACUUAGAGCGUUUAUUCUAAUUUGACAAAAAUAUUAUGUUUUACACAUAUAUGUAAGCUUCAUUUGAAAGAAAUAAAAUAUGAAC